CUCCUUACAAGGAUUCUGUACUCAGAAUCACAAUUCAAACAACUCAUUCGUCACAACACUUAUCUAAGUUCUCAAUAAAAUUAUUUUCAUACUAUUUAAGGAGAACCUCAACAGCUAUAGACCACUGUGCUAUUCUCCUGUUACCCCCGCUCGACCCAGUUACAAUCUUAUUACCUGAAAGGAAUUGUGAAACAAAAAGGGUAAGCACAACUAGCCCAGUAAAGAAUAUCAUGACUAAAAAUAAUUUACAUCAUCAAUAGCCUUCAUCAGUAAUAAAUCAGAGAUUUAGAACAUAUGGUAGAUGAUAAAACUUUUCAACCAUUGUUGCAGCGGAACGAGCAAUCCAUUAGAAGAGUCAAAUAGACCAUCAGAUCUAUUAUCUUCUCCAUGUUAAAAGUCCACCAAUAAUGUUUUAUCCCUGUAACAUCAAUCAAUAAUUCAUGUCCACAAUCAUAUGAAUAACUCAUAAUCAUAAUUGUGAUUCUAAAUUCCUCUUCGCACCCAGGACGAAGAUAAUUUUCAUCACCUAU
Molecule: long non-coding RNA, 530 nt
Filed under: Panax ginseng (ginseng)
Lineage: Eukaryota; Viridiplantae; Streptophyta; Magnoliopsida; Apiales; Araliaceae
Description: long non-coding RNA (PGIN_LNC004891)
Source: RNAcentral